This 21-nucleotide microRNA is filed under the name Arabidopsis lyrata. RNAcentral describes it as "aly-miR172a-5p". Its record names the gene aly-miR172a-5p. Lineage: Eukaryota; Viridiplantae; Streptophyta; Magnoliopsida; Brassicales; Brassicaceae. RNAcentral also lists the same sequence under 1 other name. The record is from miRBase by way of RNAcentral.
GUGGCAUCAUCAAGAUUCACA